GACGAACGCUGGCGGCGUGCCUAAUACAUGCAAGUCGAGCGAAGUUUUUCUGGUGCUUGCACUAGAAAAACUUAGCGGCGAACGGGUGAGUAACACGUAAAGAACCUGCCUCAUAGACUGGGACAACUAUUGGAAACGAUAGCUAAUACCGGAUAACAAUAUUUUUCGCAUGAAAGAUACUUAAAAGUUGGUUAUGCUAACACUAUGAGAUGGCUUUGCGGUGCAUUAGCUAGUUGGUGGGGUAAAGGCCCACCAAGGCGACGAUGCAUAGCCGACCUGAGAGGGUGAUCGGCCACACUGGGACUGAGACACGGCCCAGACUCCUACGGGAGGCAGCAGUAGGGAAUCUUCCGCAAUGGGCGAAAGCCUGACGGAGCAACGCCGCGUGAGUGAAGAAGGAUUUCGGUUCGUAAAGCUCUGUUGUUAGGGAAGAAUGGAUAUGUAGUAACUAUAC
RNAcentral lists this ribosomal RNA (454 nucleotides) under Gemella morbillorum. RNAcentral describes it as "bacterial SSU rRNA". It matches the Rfam family "Bacterial small subunit ribosomal RNA", at positions 28 to 469 of the family's 1533-position model. The record is from RNAcentral. Lineage: Bacteria; Bacillati; Bacillota; Bacilli; Caryophanales; Gemellaceae.